AGCUUCAGUAGCGUAUAUUAAAGUUGUUGCAGUUAAAAAGCUCGUAGUCGCAUUUCUGGCGAGAGGAUCCGGUCCGACCUUUUGGUGGGUUCUUGGGUCUCUUUCGCCAUCCUUGAGUGGUCCGUUCUGGCAUUAGGUUGUCGGAGCGUCAGCCGCUCAUCGUUUACUGUGAGAAAAUUAGAGUGUUCAAAGCAGGCUUAUGCCGUUGAAUAUAUUAGCAUGGAAUAAUAAGAUAGGACCUCGGUACUAUUUUGUUGGUUUGCGCACCAAGGUAAUGAUGAACAGGGACAGUUGGGGGUAUUUGUAUUUCGUUGUCAGAGGUGAAAUUCUUAGAUUUACGAAAGACAAACUACUGCGAAAGCAUUUACCAAGGAUGGUUGCA
This 382-nucleotide ribosomal RNA is filed under the name uncultured marine Chaetocerotaceae. RNAcentral describes it as "SSU rRNA". It matches the Rfam family "Eukaryotic small subunit ribosomal RNA", at positions 587 to 972 of the family's 1831-position model. The record is from RNAcentral. Lineage: Eukaryota; Bacillariophyta; Thalassiosirophyceae; Chaetocerotales; Chaetocerotaceae.